ACAUAUUCAAACUACAAAUUCAAGAUUUCAACAUCCAUAGAUGUGUUCAGUAGCCACUAACCACAUCGGUAAACAUAAUUUACAUGUGACAAUAAGAUGUCAUGUCUUCAAACUAAGCUACACUAACGGUUUGAUCUUGACAUAUGGCUACAACUAUGUCUAGGAAACAAUGGCAUGUUCACACUUGUGUAUAUUUCAGCUCAGCCGUUUGCCAAAUGACAUUGCCAUUUUCAUGAGAUGUUCUGAAUACCAGACUCGCCAUCAUCAUGUGAAACUGCAUUAUUCAAAGAGGGCCCCAUGUCUCCAGCAGAAGAGCACCAAACUUGCAAUGCUUGAAAGAUCACAGAUUGAUAGCCUCACCCCACUUGAUUGUGUUGUCACUAUGAACAGAUGAAUCACCAUGUAAACAUCCUAGUUCACUAGUACAACUACAUGUUUCCCAGAAUAUCUUCCAGUGUGAUGCCAACCUGAACAGAUAAGAUGGUACAGAUGAAAGUUGCUGGAUGUAAUGAGAUAACCAUUUAAAGAGAACUUUGGAUUAAUAUAGCCACUAAAAGCAUUGAAUCUUUACAACAUGGAGCACUGGCAAUGAAUCUUUGCAAUAAUUGAUUUCAGAGAAUUAAAACGUUAUAUAAAGCUAACAAAUUAUAUGUCAAUUAAUGUGUUCUGUUUUAAAAAAUCAUAACAUAAAAGAAACAAAUGUGUUCAGAGAUGAGAACCAUGUUACAAAAAAUAAUUCUGCUGACUUAGAUCAAAGCUCAAACAAUAACUCGAAAGAAAGCAUACGUGCUCCUGAUUCUAGUUUCCAGCUACUUCUAUAAAAUCUGUGCCAGAUCAAGGAAAAUUGUUAGUUUGAUCACUUGACAGCACAAUGAAGUUUCUCCCUAGUAAAAACAACAAAACAAAUAAGUUGUACCCAAGAGUGUAAAAUACAGUAAUAAAAGAGCAUUUGGUAUACUUUUAAUGGAGGAAUUCCUUAACUGGGUGAUUAUGGGAGGAUAACAAAUUGCAAAAUAUCAUAUAUGAAUCAUGUUUUAAAUAUACAAUAGUGCAGAUAGCAAUCAGAAGCUUCAGAGUAUCUUACCAUUCCAUAAUCCAUUAUGAUCAUCAACACAUAAUCAGAAGGGGUCGCACCAUAAUUUAGAUGUGCAAAAUUGUUUCCAUGAAACUUACUAAAAUUUAAUGUAUCUAAGAAAGUAAACCAUAGAUGGUAUUCAGGUACAUACGUGAGAUUUAAGAACAAACCAAAACAGGACUUCAAUUCCAGUUCAUUAGACCAGGAAAGCAUACAAUAAAUUAGAUGCAAUGUACAGUAGUAGAUAUUUAUGUGUACAGAUGAGGACAUAUUCCUGACAUGUAUUGAUUACGGCCUCUGUUAUUAGGGGAAGGCAUUAGGAGAUAGUAUAGCAGCACGUGAAUGAGUAUACUUUCAUGUGAGGUUACACACAGACUUGCAAGGUAGCAGAGAGUGCCCAUCUAGUUCGGUCCAAAGCUACUGUAGGCUAUUACGGAAGCCACAUUUUUCAUCAGAAAAUAAGCAUUAUUAUUCUCUCAUCUGCUCAGUUUGGACAAAAUAUUAUUCCCUUUUUAUCAUAAGCGAUCUGUACAAUUGCAGCAAUGCAUAGCUGCAAUAAGACAUGUCAUAUAAAAUUAUAACAAAUGUAAAUGAAAAGAAAGGGAGAUUACUUACUGUUUCUUUUACAUCUACAUCUACACAUAACAGAAGGACGCAACUCUAGAAUCAAUGAACCUGCUCAGAAGUUACAUAAACCAAAUACUCUCAAGUAUCCGCCGUCAAC
This 1799-nucleotide long non-coding RNA is filed under the name Triticum aestivum (bread wheat). RNAcentral's name for it is "long non-coding RNA (TAES_LNC015163)". The record is from RNAcentral. Lineage: Eukaryota; Viridiplantae; Streptophyta; Magnoliopsida; Poales; Poaceae.